RNAcentral lists this small RNA (69 nucleotides) under Lactobacillus melliventris. The record is from RNAcentral. Lineage: Bacteria; Bacillati; Bacillota; Bacilli; Lactobacillales; Lactobacillaceae.
ACAUCUGCAACCGCACAUUUUGAGGUCAUAAGUCUUGGUUAGAGCACCUCAAUUGGCGAGUCUAAGUAA